Molecule: ribosomal RNA, 491 nt
Filed under: uncultured bacterium
Lineage: Bacteria
Description: partial 16S ribosomal RNA
Rfam family: Bacterial small subunit ribosomal RNA
Source: RNAcentral
AGUGAACGCUGGCGGUAGGCCUAACACAUGCAAGUCGAACGGCAGCACAGUAAGAGCUUGCUCUUACGGGUGGCGAGUGGCGGACGGGUGAGGAAUACAUCGGAAUCUACUUUUUCGUGGGGGAUAACGUAGGGAAACUUACGCUAAUACCGCAUACGACCUACGGGUGAAAGCAGGGGAUCUUCGGACCUUGCGCGAUUGAAUGAGCCGAUGUCGGAUUAGCUAGUUGGCGGGGUAAAGGCCCACCAAGGCGACGAUCCGUAGCUGGUCUGAGAGGAUGAGCGGCCACACUGGAACUGAGACACGGUCCAGACUCCUACGGGAGGCAGCAGUGGGGAAUAUUGGACAAUGGGCGCAAGCCUGAUCCAGCCAUACCGCGUGGGUGAAGAAGGCCUUCGGGUUGUAAAGCCCUUUUGUUGGGAAAGAAAAGCAGCAGGUUAAUACCCCGCUGUUCUGACGGUACCCAAAGAAUAAGCACCGGCGAACUUCGU